This 377-nucleotide ribosomal RNA is filed under the name uncultured bacterium. RNAcentral's name for it is "bacterial SSU rRNA". It matches the Rfam family "Bacterial small subunit ribosomal RNA", at positions 521 to 896 of the family's 1533-position model. The record is from RNAcentral.
UAAUACGUAGGGUGCGAGCGUUAAUCGGAAUUACUGGGCGUAAAGCGUGCGCAGGCGGUGCGCCAAGCUCGAUGUGAAAGCCCCGGGCUUAACCUGGGAAUUGCAUUGAGGACUGGCGUGCUCGAGUGCGGCAGAGGGGGGUGGAAUUCCACGUGUAGCAGUGAAAUGCGUAGAGAUGUGGAGGAACACCGAUGGCGAAGGCAGCCCCCUGGGCCGACACUGACGCUCAGGCACGAAAGCGUGGGGAGCAAACAGGAUUAGAUACCCUGGUAGUCCACGCCCUAAACGAUGUCGACUGGUUGUUGGGGGAGGCAACUUCCUUAGUAACGAAGCUAACGCGUGAAGUCGACCGCCUGGGGAGUACGGCCGCAAGGUUA